This 78-nucleotide transfer RNA is filed under the name Microbispora rosea subsp. rosea. RNAcentral's name for it is "tRNA-Gly". The record is from RNAcentral. Lineage: Bacteria; Bacillati; Actinomycetota; Actinomycetes; Streptosporangiales; Streptosporangiaceae.
GGGGCCGGGUGGGUCGAUUGGGCCGGGUCGCCUCCCGCGGGGCCGCCCCGCGCCGCGCGAGCCCGCGCCGGCUCCGCC